GCUCAGGUUUCUCUUCAUUCACGCACAAAUCGUUUGCCUCUUACUAAAGAUUUCUGUGGAGGGGAACGUUGACAAGUUCUUAUUUUUGAAGGCUCUGCUAUGGCAGACCU
Pygocentrus nattereri (red-bellied piranha) is the source of this 110-nucleotide small nuclear RNA. Its record names the gene U5. It matches the Rfam family "U5 spliceosomal RNA". From Rfam's summary of the family: U5 RNA is a component of both types of known spliceosome. The precise function of this molecule is unknown, though it is known that the 5' loop is required for splice site selection and p220 binding, and that both the 3' stem-loop and the Sm site are important for Sm protein binding and cap methylation. Lineage: Eukaryota; Metazoa; Chordata; Actinopteri; Characiformes; Serrasalmidae. The record is from Ensembl.